GAGCAUAAUUCUUGAUAGAUCAUAAUGCCUGGAAUGGUUUAUGGUUUAAAUGAUUCGUCGCCAUAGGAUGGGACUGCGGCCUAUCAGCCUGUUGGUGAGGUAAUGGCCCACCAAGGCGAUAACAGAUACGGGCUCUGAGAGGAGAAGCCCGGAGAUGGGUACUGAGACAAGGACCCAGGCCCUAUGGGGCGCAGCAGGCGAGAAAACUUUGCAAUGUGCGAAAGCACGACAAGGUUAGUCCGAGUGAUUUCUGCUAAAGAGAUCUUUUGCUAGUUAUAAAACCACUAGUGAAUAAGGGGUGGGCAAGUUCUGGUGUCAGCCGCCGCGGUAAAACCAGCACCUCAAGUGGUCAGGAUGAUUAUUGGGCCUAAAGCAUCCGUAGCCGGCUCUGUAAGUUUUCGGUUAAAUCCAUACGCUCAACGUAUGGGCUGCCGAAAAUACUGCAGAGAUAGGGAGUGGGAGAGGUAGACGGUACUCGGUAGGAAGGGGUAAAAUCCUUUGAUCUAUCGAUGACCACCUGUGGCGAAGGCGGUCUACCAGAACACGUUCGACGGUGAGGGAUGAAAGCUGGGGGAGCAAACCGGAUUAGAUACCCGGAUAGUCCCAGCUGUAAACGAUGCAGACUCGAUGAUGCAUUGGCAUAUAGCCAGUGCAGUGUCGCAGGGAAGCCGUUAAGUCUGCCGCCUGGGAAGUACGUACGCAAGUAUGAAACUUA
This 715-nucleotide ribosomal RNA is filed under the name uncultured archaeon. RNAcentral describes it as "bacterial SSU rRNA". It matches the Rfam family "Archaeal small subunit ribosomal RNA", at positions 142 to 858 of the family's 1478-position model. The record is from RNAcentral.